AAAACGACUCUCGGCAACGGAUAUCUCGGCUCUCGCAUCGAUGAAGAACGUAGCGAAAUGCGAUACUUGGUGUGAAUUGCAGAAUCCCGUGAACCAUCGAGUCUUUGAACGCAAGUUGCGCCCCAAGCCGCGAGGCCGAGGGCACGUCUGCCUGGGUGUCACGC
RNAcentral lists this ribosomal RNA (164 nucleotides) under Pseudoclausena chrysogyne. Its description in RNAcentral is "5.8S ribosomal RNA". It matches the Rfam family "5.8S ribosomal RNA". Rfam says of the family: 5.8S ribosomal RNA (5.8S rRNA) is a component of the large subunit of the eukaryotic ribosome. It is transcribed by RNA polymerase I as part of the 45S precursor that also contains 18S and 28S rRNA. The record is from RNAcentral. Lineage: Eukaryota; Viridiplantae; Streptophyta; Magnoliopsida; Sapindales; Meliaceae.